RNAcentral lists this ribosomal RNA (127 nucleotides) under Frullania junghuhniana. RNAcentral describes it as "partial 5.8S ribosomal RNA". It matches the Rfam family "5.8S ribosomal RNA", at positions 29 to 154 of the family's 154-position model. From Rfam's summary of the family: 5.8S ribosomal RNA (5.8S rRNA) is a component of the large subunit of the eukaryotic ribosome. The record is from RNAcentral. Lineage: Eukaryota; Viridiplantae; Streptophyta; Jungermanniopsida; Porellales; Frullaniaceae.
UGCAACGAUGAAGAACGCAGCGAAAUGCGAUACCUAGUGUGAAUUGCAGAAUUCCGCGAAUCAUCGAGUCUUUGAACGCAAGUUGCGCCCGAGGCUCGUACCGAGGGCAUGCCUGUCUGAGCGUCCA